UAAAUGUCACCUACUGACCUCAGAGUU
This 27-nucleotide non-coding RNA is filed under the name Homo sapiens (human). The record is from RNAcentral. Lineage: Eukaryota; Metazoa; Chordata; Mammalia; Primates; Hominidae.